CCUACGGGAGGCAGCAGUGGGGAAUAUUGGACAAUGGGCGAAAGCCUGAUCCAGCCAUGCCGCGUGUGUGAAGAAGGCCUUUUGGUUGUAAAGCACUUUAAGCGGGGAGGAGGGCACCGUGGUUAAUACCCACGAAUGUCGGACGUUACCCGCAGAAUAAGCACCGGCUAACUCUGUGCCAGCAGCCGCGGUAAUACAGAGGGUGCGAGCGUUAAUCGGAAUUACUGGGCGUAAAGCGCGCGUAGGCGGCUUGUUAAGUCGGAUGUGAAAUCCCUGGGCUCAACCUAGGCAUUGCAUUCGAUACUGGCAAGCUAGAGUAUGGGAGAGGAAGGUAGAAUUCCAGGUGUAGCGGUGAAAUGCGUAGAGAUCUGGAGGAAUACCGAUGGCGAAGGCAGCCUUCUGGCCUAAUACUGACGCUGAGGUGCGAAAGCAUGGGGAGCAAACAGGAUUAGAUACCCUGGUAGUCCAUGCCGUAAACGAUGUCAACUAGCCGUUGGGCCCCUUGNGGNGUAGUGGNGCGAGCGAACGACGAGUAAGUUAAGUACCGCCGUUCGGGGAGGGUACGGGUUCGGCGAAGAACGUUAAAACUUAACGAAAGGAAAGUUAGAGGCGNGAGAGNGCGACGGACGACGACGAGGGAGGAGGAG
RNAcentral lists this ribosomal RNA (647 nucleotides) under uncultured bacterium. RNAcentral describes it as "bacterial SSU rRNA". The stretch from base 1 to 549 matches the Rfam family "Bacterial small subunit ribosomal RNA", at positions 338 to 873 of the family's 1533-position model. The record is from RNAcentral.